This 9399-nucleotide long non-coding RNA is filed under the name Sorghum bicolor (sorghum). RNAcentral's name for it is "long non-coding RNA (SBIC_LNC013598)". The record is from RNAcentral. Lineage: Eukaryota; Viridiplantae; Streptophyta; Magnoliopsida; Poales; Poaceae.
CGGUGUAUCUUAGCAAGCAGCGUGUCAGCAUAUUGAUAGCAUUCGUUUUCAGAUGAAUAUACGGAUUACGGAGGAAUGUAGGAAACUGUUGUAACAACCAUGUUAUUGUGAUAUUAAAUCAAGUUCUGGAAUCCAUAAUACUAUGAGCCUUACCAUUUACAGUUGCGAAAAAUGUAGCAAAGCUAAAGUGUAUACAGCAUAUAUAUAUUGCAUUCCCUUCUCCUUGAUAUACAGAGGAGGAAACUGUGUUAUAUCAAUCAUUAUAUGAUAUCAAACCAUGUUUUGCAAUUCAUAAUAUGGCCCUUACCAUUUACACUCGAGGAAACUUUGUUCAUGUUUCAGUGGUUUAAUUUUGUUGCUCCAGGGGAAGAAAAUUGUUUUGGGCAUCAACAUGGUGCCUUCGAAACAACUUUUUAUUUGUUUCACCAAUGAUAUGUUUGUAUUUUUUUUAGAUAAUGGAAUGAGGUAAAACAUAAAGAAAGAACUUUAGCCACUGCUGACAGAAGCGCGGUAAAUUGACAAUAUGAAACGUGAACCUGAUCCUGGAUGCAGCAGAAUGCUUGAUGAAUUCCAAUUAUAUGGGCAUCUAUUGAGUUUGUUGACCCCAAACUGUUCUUGAUGGACAGAAGCUCAGAGCUGAAUUCAUUAAUUUAUGGCUAGACCAGUAUGUUAUGGUUGCUUGUUGCUCUCACUCAAAUCUUCAAGUGGGUUCGUUGUAUAAUACAAAAUUGGGUGUAGUUCUGGAGCCAACUAUGUGGCUUUCUUACCUUCAGUGACAGAAAUAUUAGUUACCUGUUCAUGACUGCUCUCUGGAAAGUUCUUAAAUUAGUUGAUGGUGUACUUGCCACUGAUGCGCGGCUUGUUUUAUCUUUUAAGGAAGAACAAAUUGGUAGAUGGGAGCAUGAUUGAUCGAGGAGUUUGCCAUCACUAACUUAUAUUGUAAGAAAUAUUUUCUAUACCUUUUAUAAAAGAACCAUGUUCAUUAUAGCAGACAUCUCAAAUGCUAGUGUGAACUGAUAAUGGAAAUUCAUGUAGCCUGAGAUGAUUCAAUAAUUUCAGCAAGAAUACACACACAUAUAAAAUGUGCGAUAAAAAACAACUGAUUUUGCAUGUCAUUAGUAUGUCAGAAACUAAGUCCACCACGUCUAGUCAGCUACUUGAUCAUAAUCGAUUGAGAACACCUCCAACAAACCAACCUCAUGGACUUAAUUAGUGUGUUGUUUGAGAGUAAUCCACAAACUCUGAUCUACAGACACCUAAAGAGGAGUUCUAGAAAUUUUAUGUUCUCUUUUCUAGAGUUUGCGGAGCCACACAUGUUUGGUUGAAAAACGUGGAGUGGAGCUGUUACAAACAGAGACUAAGGCAAAAAAACAUUAUGAGUUGCUUAAUUUAUUUAGUCCUUGUUUAGUUCACGAUUUUUUUUUGAUUUGGCUACUAUAGCAUUUUCGUUUGUAUUUGACAAUUGUUGUCCAACCAUGGACUAACUAGGCUAAAAAAUUUUGUCUUGCAAAUUACAAAUAAACUGUGUAAUUACUUAUUUUUUUAUUUAUAUUUAAUGCUUCAUGUAUGUGAUAAAGAUUUAAUAUGAUAGCAAAUCUUGAAAAUGUUUAGAAACUAAAACAAAGUGAAUCACUGGUCAGUACGCAUGCAUGCAGGAGCUAUGUCCCCAACUCAUUCACAUUGAUGAGGUAGAACGAGGUCUUGUUUACUUACACCUGAAAUCUAGAGAACUUUUCAAGAUUCCUCAUCAUAUCAAAUCUUGUGGCACAUAUAUAGAACAUUGAAUAUAGAUAAAAAAUAACUAAUUACAUAAUUUAUCUUUAAUUUGCGAAACGAAUCUUCUGAGCUUAGUUAGUCUAUGGUUUGACCAUAAUUGCCAAAUACAAACAAAAAUACUACAAUACUCAAAAAAUUUUCACCUAAGAAACUAAACAAGGCACAAAUCUAGUUGGUUUGUACAAGUGCAUCAUCAUUCACACGACACAUGAACCAAACCAUAUAUAUAAGUUGGUGUGAACUCAGUUGUUUAUACCAUAACAUAACUUGCAUGGUCAGUUGUCGAGAUGUACUUUGGUUAGCUCGAUAGUUUUCUUGGUAUAUCUUUUUUUUAUCCUUUGGUCACUCGUUGUUUGUCCCUUUCAGUUACGUUGCCUUUGAUCAAGAAUGGUUCGAACUUGGGCUCCUUUCGAGUCAUCCUACUAUUAAAAAAACUAUAAUUGGUGACAAUGGUAACCUUCGGAACCUAAGAAAGUAACCUCAACUUGUUUUGUAGAGAAAGGGGAAAAAAAGUCAUUUCAGCUACAAAAGCUAUAUAAUUAAUGGCACCUAACAAAUAGAAAAAAAAUGUUAUCCUGACUACGCAUUUGCAUUUACCACCUGAAGCAACAUAUAUAUAUUUAUGGAAUGCUUAUAAUUCCAUUCUGCAGUGUAUUUCCCUUUUUGGCCUGCUAAGCAGAUGCACAGUUGAUCUUCUACUGUUAGUAGUUAGCAAAAUGAAUUUGUUUUUGUUAUUGACUUAAUUAUUGAGCCAGAAUAAUCUCAGUUUACAUGGUGUUAGCUAAUAACUAGUGCUAACAAAUGCUAAAUUGUUACGACUUGCACGAUACUGACGUGCCAGCCUCUGAACUGUCCAUUCAUAGUUUUACCAGACACGAAACUACUUGCCCAACAACACCUCAUUCAUGUAGUCCUUCCAUACCACUUUUUGCAAUAAACAAUACUUCAGAAAACACUUCUUCACUAUCACAAGCUAAAGCUACAUUCUGAGAAAGCCAAGUCACGCUUACACUGACAGUGUGACUCUUAAGCUUGGAUUUGGUAACCAUAAAUGAUUUUUCUAUUACCAGCAGUUGCAAGGGUGCUUUCAUGUUUCGAUGGUUAUCAUGAUCUUAUCUGAGAGAAAGCAACAUUCUAAUCAGUGUAAGUAUUCGACAUGACAAACGAAUAUACAUCAAAACUUUGGGCUUUCAUAUAAAGACUCCCCAUACAUUUGUUUGUUGUGUAUUGAUAGCAAGGCCUGAACAAUAUAAACCAAUUAUUAUAAUUCAAAUGUCAAAUGCUUACAUGGGGAUCCACAAUAAUAAAAUCACUAAGUUACAGCAUCGGCAUCGUUAACUCCCUUUUAAACGAUACUGUAACCAAUGCAAAAAAAGAAAUAAAAACAAAUGCAAUUACUACCAACAACAAUAUAUAAUUAUGUUAAACUUAGCGGAAGUUUGUUGCGCAUGCCACUUAUUUUGCUAUUAGUUAGUGUGUCGGCUCUUCUUUCUUGCGCCACUUUUCUAAUGCAAACUCACAUACAUUUAGAUACUUUUGUUUCCCCCUUUUUUGGUUCCUCUUUCCUUUCCUUUUCUUUCAUAAAUCAUUUUUUAGAUAAUACCUGGCUUCAUCAAUAUAUAGUUAUAUACAUAAUGUAGAACCUGUAUUUUUAAGGCUUGAGGGUGCAACCACCUUCGAUUCCUCAAAGAGCCUAGCUAGUGCUUGCAUGCUCACAUCCUAAUUGCUUGGAUUGCUACUAUUUGUAUACUCAUGGUUCGUUGUAAUGCAAGAAAAAAACUCGAUCUGCGAGGGCUAAGACAGCCCCUGGACAUUGUGCUUAAGAAGAUCUUUUCACAUAGAUUGAGAAAACCCUCAAAUCUCUGCUCUACCCAUACACAGCGGUAUCGCUGCUCCUGUGAGAUUUGGUUGGCCUUAGACCUGUGCUUUGAUAUGAGAUAGACGAGAAGAUUUUUUUCGUCCCUGGCCAACAAAUUCGCUCCCGUAGAGGGUCGAACUCCGUCCGCAAGGAUGCAACGUGGUGCAGCUAGCCAAAUACAACUUGUUUCUGUUGCAGCAUUCGUAAAGCUCGAAACAAAUUAACAGUGGAGAUGAAACAAACUCACUAAGCUCGAAAUUGUGCAGGCAUGAACAAGAACAUCAAGACGAUGACGUGGAUGACCAAUGAGGCGGCGUAGAUGCAGACCAUCAGUCGUUUGCCCUACUAAUGCACGAGAGAAAUAUCUCGUACGUGAUGACGAAAGAAUAUUGUUAAGGAAGUUAAGCAUGCAAGACGCUAGCUAUUCUCCAUUGUCUUACGAGAGCUGUGACACAUAGGAUAUAUAGCUCAUUGGCCAAUUGCUGAACACGCAUAGGUCCGGUCGGUGAGAUGCAUAGUAUAGACACGAUAUAUAUUAGCUGGGUAUGUUUCCGCAAAGUUAAUAUAGAGAACAUAUAUAUAUAUAGGUACGGUGGUGGAUUGAAAGAGGCUUGUUAAGCCGCCCUCUUGUCGUGCAAAACUAAACAAGCUAGCUAGAGUGACCUCCAUUAUCCAAACCUUACAAACAUCCUAUUUAAUUACCAUGCGCGCUCGAUCAUCCAAGCAAUAAAUUAAAGCUCUCUCAUUCACAACUUAGUUCUUUUGGCUAGCUAGCUUAAUUGUUCCUCGAUCGCUCCAGCUAAUCAAUCAAAGUAGCAAACCCAUCGAUCAGUUUCUUGGGGAAAUUAAACCAGGCCACACAUCGAUUGCAAUGGAGAAGUCGUCGAGGGUCAGGCCAUCGAGGGGCCACUGGCGUCCCGGUGAGGACGACAAGCUGCGGCAGCUCGUCGACAAGUAUGGCCCUCAGAAUUGGAACUCCAUUGCUGAGAAUCUGGAGGGGAGAUCAGGUAUGUAUAUAUCUAGGGCUUCUUUCAAGCUCUCCUGAUUAAUUGUUUCUCCUCCGCUUUCUGAAGCACAUACAUGCAUGCACAUGCAUGAUGACGUGAAGAAAAAGUUUUCUCACCAUGGCUUUGUUUCUUUAAUUAAUCUUGUAUACUUGUGUUGUUCCUUCUCGUUCGUCUAGGCUUUUGUCAAUUCUCGCAUGCAUGAUCGUUUUGGAUGGUCGAGUGACAAGAAAAGUUUGAUCGAUGUUCAUCAUCGUUUGUGUUUGUACACAUAUGUGGAGAAUGUUUAAGUUGGUUUAUGAAUGUGUAAUAAUUAAGAUACUACUAGAUACUAAUUAUAUAUUCGAAUGUCACCUUGGUUCAUUUCAAGUUCGUGAGGCAUCCAUGCAUCUUUGCCUGCCCUACUUUACAAAUUUUCAUCUCUUUUCACCAUGCCGUACGUACCACAUGUUGGUGCUGCAGAAAAAAAUGUAUAUCAUCAUCAUCAUCAUCAUCACCGUUUGCUUGAUUAUGGAUCCACGACCCGUCCAUAUGCAUAUACUGUAGUAGAAACUAUAUAUCACAAGGACAAUUAAUAUAUAUGUCUGCAACUCUGCAUCAGUAUGUACAGUAGAUUUUCUUGCUUGCGCAUCCAAUUUUUUCCAUUUCAGAGAUGAACGUCCAGAACGCUACUGACUGAGUGACUGAUGCGUACGUGUUUAUGCAUACAUGGCAAUGGCACGGAUGAAACAUAUAGGCAAGAGCUGCCGGCUCCGAUGGUUCAACCAGCUGGACCCGCGGAUCAACCGGCGGCCCUUCACGGCGGCGGAGGAGGAGCUGCUCCUGCAGGCGCACCGCGCCCACGGCAACCGCUGGGCGCUCAUCUCCCGCUUCUUCCCGGGCCGCACCGACAACGCCGUCAAGAACCACUGGCACGUCGUCACGGCGCGCCGCCGCCGCGGCCACCACCACCACCAUCGUACCCUCGUCGGCGACGGCGAGCAAACCGCCACCAGCACCGGCUAUGUCGCCGUUGUACCGCCUCGUCAUCAGCCGCCGUUUCAUCAUCAGUACUUCCAUUUCGGAAGCUGCUGCCUGCCGGCGACGACGACGAAGAUGACCACCACCCGCUCGCUGUGCUUCGCGGUGCCAGCUGGUUCCGGGCCGCUCGGCCUCAGCAGCAGCCGAGCUGGAACGUACGGUGUCGUCAGGAACUGCAACGUGCCCACUGCCGCCGCUGCCGUCGCAUUAUUGGACGGCCAUCGUCGUCAUGACAUGAGCAAAGACCAUGGCCGUCGUGGCGGUGACGAUGGCGGUGCCGGUGCGGUUGCAAACAGGAAGGACGUGCAAUUCUUCGACUUCUUGGGCGUCGGGAUCUGAAGAAAAAUAAAUAAUGAUGGUAUAAGUACAGAACAUUAUUGGAACGAUAUACGUACUGCAAUAUAUUAAUGAGGCGUUGUUACCUAGAAAAUUGGAUGUUGGUGGCCUUGUUCAGUUCCCAAUUUUUCAAAAAUUUACGAGAUAAAUCUUUUGAGCCUAGUUAGUUUAUUAUUGGAUAAAAUUUAUCAAAUACAAACAAAAAUACUACAGAGUAGGCAAAAUAAAAAAAAUUUCUAAACUUUCUGAUUUUUUUAGGUUUUAAAUAUUGUAGCACUUUCAUUUUUAUUUAAUAAUUAUUGUCUAAUUAUAAAAUAACUAAGCUUAAAAGAUUUAUCUUAUGAUUUACAGAUAAACUAUAUAAUUAAUUUUUAUUUUCAUGUCUUUUUAAUGCCUCAUGUAUGCGACGCAAGAUUCGAUGUGAUAGAAAAUUUUUAAAAAAAAAUUAGUUUUUAGGGUGAACUAAACAAGGCCUACGAAUGGGCAUUCCUUAUGAGAGUACUCUCUCACUCUCUCGACACCACACGCUCGUGAGAUGUGCCAGGGGUCCCACAUGUCAGCAGCAUAAAUGACAUGACAAAAACGAUGAUGUGAAGGUAAGUCAUUAAUCCCCAAAUACUUCAUUAGUUUUAGAACGUAGGUAAAAUACAUGUUUUUAUUUUGUUCAAGUCAAAAGUUUUCUAAUCUUGACCAAUAAGCCAAGACCAUGAAAAACAAUAGGCGAGGAAAGAUCAGCUAAUAGUGUGCAAUAGAUAACUAAUGCUGGAGUGAUGUUUAGAUUUCCUGUUGUAUAAUAUAAUCUCCCUUAGCUUUUGGUAGCGCAUGUCCAUGUUGCCACCAACCAAACGGGCUUGAGGGCCAGCGCUACGCUUCGCUUCGAUCGUCUGGGAUUCAUGCUCACUAGUGGAGCUAGAAAGCAACCAUAGAAACCAAAAAGCUACUGUAGUUGCUUCGUCUGGCUCCUCUGUCCAUACAUGUGGAUCCCUCCUUGGAUGCAUGGUGGACGACGAUUAGAGCACGAGGCAGAGGCGCCGAGAUAUGAGGCAAGUGAGGCAUCGUGGAAGUGAAGAAGGUGGCACGAUGACCGGGGUGGGGAUGAGGGAGGCGACCACGUGUGAGGAGGCAGAGAUUAAGAAGGGAGCGUGGCUGAGGUAGAGGCGAAUGAGAGGAAGGAAAGGGAGAAAGAAACUACAAUAGAAAAAAGAAACAACAUUAUGGAUAUUUUACUCUUUUUACUUAUCAUGAGAAAUUGUUUUAAUAAACAUUUUUCUAUGGAGUUAUCUAGAUCUAAAGAAAACUACUCCAGCAAAAGAUCGAUCUAGAGUCAGAGCAGUUUUAGUUAGAGUAGAGCGAGCUCUACCAAACACACCCUACAUUUAUUUAAUAAAGUUAGAAAAGUUUGAUUUGAGACAUAAAUAAAACUAUGUUCGUUUUGUACAAACAUACGGGUAUGCAUGUUUCUUUCCCAACUAAUUGUCCAACUUGCCAAACUAUAAAGGAUAAAAUAGAAAUUUCUCACUUUAACCAACUAUCAAUCACUAUAAUCUACUCCCUCCGUCCCACAAGUAAACGUAUUUCUUUGACUUCUACGAUACAUGUUUGACUGUUCGUCUUAUUCAAAAAAAUUUAAUAAAUAUUAUUUAUUUUUUAUGACUUAUUUUAUUGUUAGAUAUAUUUUUACAAUAAUUUUGUUAUUUUAUUAUUUGUAUAAAAAAUUUAAAUAAGACAAAUGAUCAAAUAUGAAUCGUACCGGUCAAAGAAAUGCAUUUAUUUGUGGGACGAAGGUAGUAUUAUGUAUAAUUCAGAUUAUAAUAACCAAGUCAUGAUCCAAACAGCUAGACCUUAAAAUAAAAAGCAAUGCUAAGUAAUGUAAGUAGAACGCUAUAUAUCAAGUCGUGGCUCCAGAUAUUAUAGGAAACAUUAUAUAUAGCAAAAAUAUGCCACUAAAUAAAAUUGGAAUGGGGUUGGACUCUCUGAAAGUCACAGGCCUCUCCAUCCAUGCCACCUAAGCAAGCAAUGCCUUCCUCAAGAUCUGCAUACCCAAGGGUCACCCGCCACGUGUCACACGGGCCCACCGACAUUUGGAUAAUUUGUGCCACGUGUGCAAAGCCCAGCCAAUGGGAUGGAAGCAGCCUCACCCUAUCCACACGCCCGGCACCACAACCACAACCCUCUACAGCCUCCACACCUGCAGGCACCCACGAUCAAAAACAAAACCAUCCUCACUCUCCCCUGCUGCCAGCCAACCAAGCUCCAAGCUCCAAGCACGCACAGCCACUCAGCCACACCACACCAAGAUCAUGGCCGGCGUGAACUCCAGCGUCGUCGGACUCAAGCCCGCCGCGGCAGUGCCCCAGGCCGCCGCCGCCGCCGCCUCGUCGCAGGCGAAGCGGGUGCAGCUGGUCGCGCCCGAGGGCCGCCGCGCCGCGCUGCUCGGCCUGGCGGCCGUCUUCGCCGUCACCGCCACCACCGGAUCGGCCAAGGCCGGGAUCAUCGACGAGUACCUUGAGAAGAGCAAGGCCAACAAGGUCUGUCGUCGUUUCGUGUGUAUUAUUUUAUGAGAGCUGUUGCUAGCUUGUUUCAAUGCAUGGAAGUGAAACCUGACAGGAUUUUCCUUUUUUUUGCUGCGAUCGAUCGAUCAGGAGCUGAAUGACAAGAAGAGGCUGGCCACCAGCGGCGCCAACUUUGCGCGCGCCUACACCGUCGAGUUCGGCAGCUGCACGUUCCCCUACAACUUCACUGGGUGCCAGGACCUCGCCAAGCAGAAGGUUGUUCACAUAUUCUCAUCACACUCAUAAGAAACUUUUUAUUUUUCGAGAACAAGUUCGCUGAUGUGUGUUUCAUUGAGAGGAGAUCGAUACUCAUAAGAAACCUCACCUGAUCGAUCGAUAAUAAUCUGAAUUAUUGAUUUCUUCGAUCUCAUGUUGUGCCAUAUAGAUAUCAUGUGUGUCGUCCGUGCUUGCUUGUGUUGUUGCAGAAAGUGCCCUUCAUCACCGACGACCUCGAGAUCGAGUGCGAGGGGAAGGAGAAGUUCAAGUGCGGCUCCAACGUUUUCUGGAAGUGGGGUGAAGCAAAAUGAGGAGGCGACCUGGUGGUGUACAUGUACGUGUGUGUGUACCUAGAUGUGCGCCCAAACUGCAGGAAGAAUUUGGAUGUGUAAUUGUGGUCAGUGUAUUUGUGUCAUCUCAUCAUCUGAUUGAUCAUCAUGAACCUCUUGCAUUAAUUGGGGAGAGUGAAUUAUAGUAUUUUGUCCUUGAUCGCCUUCUCGUUUCAUAGGCGCUUAUGAGUUUUCCCUACAAAACACGACAAAAGAAAGAUAUAAUUUUUCUAUUACGAUAAGCCCUGGAACUCGAUUAAUAUGCUGCUCAAAUUUUAUAUAUUUGUUGAGCACUUAACGAUCUCAAA